Molecule: long non-coding RNA, 2254 nt
Filed under: Homo sapiens (human)
Lineage: Eukaryota; Metazoa; Chordata; Mammalia; Primates; Hominidae
Description: HSALNT0391309
Source: RNAcentral
AGGUCACCCAAGUAUAUCCUGACUAAGUUUUUACUUGAUCAGGGAUACAAAGGAGGAAGAUUUGCUGGGCCAGAACUAUGCUCAACAAUGCCUGUAAGUGACUCAAAUAUUUACAGACAGGAUUGUUGAGAGACGACCUAUGGAAAUGCUCCUGCUAGUUUUCAGACUCUGUUGGAAUAGUACAAAUAAAUCCCUUUCAUCAGAACUCUUUGUCUACAUCUUAACAGCUGAGGAUUGGGAUUGCAUGCUGACGAAAAGCGAGACAGGAUAAUGACAGGUAGCUAAGCAUCCAUUCAGUCUUUUAUUUACCAAACCUUUAAUGAUUAUUUUUCCUGUGCUGCCUAGUUCCAAAGAACAUGAGUUCACAGUUGAUUAGCCCUCUGACUAAUCAACAUGGAUGGCAGAAAUUGGGGUUGGAAAGUCUUCCUUUCCUCAACCCCAGGAAUCAGAGCUCGAGCCUGAGAUGGUGAAUACAAUGCAGGCUGUGGUAUAGGUUUUGCCUGGCAUUGAGUCCUAAUGGGUUAAAUAAAAUGGUGAGGUGAUCCCGUGGUCAGUGCUCUCCAGGAGGUAGAAAAGUGAGUGAUCAGGGAAGAGGUAGACUUAUAAUGCUAGAAUCAAGAGAAAGAUCCAGAAAAUGUGAAAAGCAGCCAUGGGGAACUAAACAAAUAGCAACCCUAGGCUCUUCAGAACCUGGGGGAGUUGUGUCCAGGAAUGCUCAAUAGAAGUGUUAUGCUAGCAAGGAAUUAGUUUUUCCUUUGCUUCACAGAGCGGUGGCAGCCAGGGGAUCUAGGGAACCACAUCAGGCUUGGUUAACACUGCAAAUUUAAGAGGCCUUUUCUAGGUUCUGACAAUCGUUGCUGUUUGACGGUUGUUAGAGUUUUGUUUCCAUUUUUAAAAGCAUGAACACUUGAGGAAGUGGACUUCUAUGUUGGCACCGCCACUUACUAGCUGUGUGACACUGAGAAACUGCUUAACCUUUCUGCAACUCCAUUUUCUCAACUGUCAAAUGGGGAUGAUAAUAGCAACAACGACAACACCUACCACAGAUAGAUAAUUCGUGUUCCAAACUCAUAGCUGUCACUAAGGUAUACAUAUUCUGAUAGGAAGACCUAUUUUGCAAUCUGUUACACAAUAUCUGCAGAAGAGUUUGAACUCUCCAAGGGACCUAUCUUUUCAUUCAUCCAUAAAUCUCAGGUAAGCAGUGAAUGCAGAGGUUGCCUUUUCUGUUAAAAAAAAAAAUUGAAGACUAAACAAAUGCCUACAUUUCCAUAACAAUUGCAGCAACUCUCAUUGUGGUUUAUCCAUGAUGUUGUUCAAUAUUAUCACUUAAUGCUGCUCAAUUACUGCCUUGUUUGAAAGCAGAGCACACUUUGUUAGAGUUCUAUCUCAAAAGACUUAAAAAAAACACACACGCAAAAAUGGACAGGACUCCAUCUGCUCUGCAAAUACAAUUUCAGGAAAGGUGAUUUUAUGUGGGUGAGCAUUUAGAUUGAUCUGAGAAGACGAGGCAUCUAAACACAGCGUAAAAACAGACCAUGGAGAAGAGCAAGACGGGAGGCAAGAUGGGGAAACUAGAUGGAUUCCCAACUCCAGCUGAGUCAGAUCGCCAUUGCGUGGCUUCAUUCCUUUGUUUGAAGUAAAUUCCCAGAAUAUCAGACACACCCAUACUCACAUGUAAGUAGAAAAACACUUUCUAAAGCCAAAUAAAUAAAAAUGAUAUCUGGAUUGGCUUUUCUGUUACAUGUCUCUGCCUCCUCAGUCUACCUUAACUGAUAAUUAACUUCAUUGAAGUUCAACUUUUGUGAACUUUAAUCCUCCCCCAAACAGAAAGACAAACUGAGGCAAGUUGAGGAGGCAUGUUCAAGAUUUGUCAAAUUACAAGAAUUUGUUACUUGAAUAAUAAACAACAUUUAUAAUCCCAGACCUGUGGGAAGCAUUUCCAGGAAAUAUGGAUCAUCACAUUGGCUCUUGUUACCAGAACUGUGCAAGGCUCCCAUUGGCCGAACACAACUGGAUUUCAGAAGACUUAAUGGAGACUAUACAGGUCAGCCUUCCAGGGUACAGAGCAAGAUGGAGAGUGAUAGACUAGAUACAGAAGAGCAAUCCCAAGAUAGCUCACUCAGAAGACAACACUCACUCUGACUACCCAACUUCAUUGAAACUAAAAGAAACUUCAUCUUGCUUUAGAGGAAAAUAAUCUGGGCCAGAUACCCAGUUUGGGCUGAUAAAUAUACUGCUGUGUAUAUUUUACACU